Molecule: long non-coding RNA, 2033 nt
Organism: Rhododendron vialii
Lineage: Eukaryota; Viridiplantae; Streptophyta; Magnoliopsida; Ericales; Ericaceae
Exons: 3
Source: RefSeq, a predicted model, not a curated record
UGUUUCUCUCUCCUUGCUCCUCCAAUCAGACUUCUCCAUUCUCUCUCCUCAACAGCUCUCUCUCUCUCUCUCUCUCUCCCGUUUGUUUGCUUUUUUUCAUUUUUAAUUUUGAAGCUUAAACAUAAUAUGUAUGGGGUUCUAUCCACGCAUCUGUAGUGAAGCAACUUAAACACAGAUGUAGAUGAAGAUGCAUGGGGUUUGAAAAUCUCGCCGACACUGGGUUUCGAAAUCCCUCUCUUCUCCUGUUGGCGGUUCAACGAGGUGGUGGUUCACUGGUGACGGCUGCGGUGGGUCCGUACGUGAAUGAGUUAUAUAGAGAGUUUUGGCUUCAAUGAUUGGACUUGCUCUAAUGUACUUCAUUUUCUUCAGCCAGAAAAGAGAGGGAAAAGGCGGAACAUCUUUUGUUUCUUUUUCAUUUUGUUGAUGAAGCAAGAGGUAGGCAUCAUUUUGACGAGUAGAUUUCCUUGGAAACUUUUGGAAACGUAAGAGGUCUGAUAUUGUUUUGGAGUUUGUGGUUGUUUGGGAAAAAUGAUCAAGCCCUGGAGUAGAUAAGUGCUACUACUUAUAACUGAAAUAACUGUUUUUUGCCUGCCGUCUUAAUACUCAUACGAACACCUAUCACCUAUAAAAAGUCAGAACAAAGCCCUCUCUCUCUCUCUCUCUCUCUCUCUCUCUCUCUCUCUCUCUCUCUCUCUCUCUCUCAGUUGCAUAUUCAAGAAGGCAUCGAGAAAAAUGUCUGACAACAGAAGAAGCAUAGGUACAGGCAGAGAAGGGAACGAGUCCUUAGAAGGACAUGUAUCAUCUUCAUCUCAAACGGUGGUUGAUACUGGCACACAAAUACCUGAAGAAGAAUUGGAAUUGGGAUCUGCUAUCAGUAGAAGGCCUGUGGUUUCUAAGGCCUGUGGUUUCUGGCACCCAUACCAAAGUUGGUGAAAAGAUGGGAAUUUUUCUGUUUCAAGUGCUUAUAACUCCUGGUGAUGCUUAGCUAAACAAACUUCUAAUUUCUGUGGAAGCAGCUUUGAAAUGUUUCCCUCCUCCAGCCGAUUGUCAGGAAACUUACAAGAAGAAGAUACAGAUUUCCGACCCUCAAAACUUCGAUUGGCCUAUGACUCUGAGGUAUGAUCCUUCGGAUCCUGGAAAACAAGUGGCAGAUAUUUGCUAUCUGGAACAAUGUGAAAACUUUGGGUAAGAUUUGCUGCUACAAACCAGUCCCAUUUUCAGACGACAACCGUUACCUGGUUGAAACUGUCAAAAGAAGAUAUCCAAAUACUAUCCAUGAAUUCAAGUUUGAAAAUUUCAUGUUUCAGCUGACAUUGACCAAUAUGGACAUGCGGUACAAAAGGCUCAUCAUCUUCGCUGAGGAUGUAUUCAAACAUUUCUCUGCUGUUGGAAUCCCUGCUGGAACACAUGACGUUGAGAGGUUGUAUUUUACUGAUCUAAAAUAAAAAUCGGAUACUAUCGUGGUUUUUACCACCUUAUGCUGGCUGAUUUUUUCACAAAGCACAAUUUGGGAAAAAGAGAUAUGAUUAGCUUUUGUAGACCUGUACAUCCUUUACACUGUUGCAUUUGUGAAACAAGGUGGUAAUCGGACUCAAUCCGAGACUGUAGCAACAGAUGAUACCAUGGAUGGAGGCGGUGACGAACAGGGUGAUGGUGGAGGAGGACGAACAGAUAGAGGCAACAACAGACAGAGCGAUGGUGGAGGAAGGAGUCACAGUGGCGGAAAGUUGGUUUUGAAUGUUGCUGUUUCGCAACGAAAAGCAACAGAGUACUCUUGAACAAGGACGUUGCAGCAGUGGUGAUUCAAGGUCAAGGGAAUGAAUGGUAGCACCAUUGUAUAUUCCAAGGAAGACAGGAAAAUUCAAGUAUUAAGUCUGCAGAAAUAUUCGUCCAAUUGCUGACACAAAUGAAAUGAGAAACUCUUAGAUUUACCAUUCCUUCUACUAGUUGUCUCGUUGGCGUAUUGUUUGUCAUUUUUGCGGUGAAAACUUACGGAUACUGAGCUACCUUAAAUAAUAUGAAGUCCAAAACAA